RNAcentral lists this ribosomal RNA (491 nucleotides) under Fusarium oxysporum f. sp. lycopersici. Its description in RNAcentral is "eukaryotic LSU rRNA". The stretch from base 130 to 283 matches the Rfam family "5.8S ribosomal RNA". The record is from RNAcentral. Lineage: Eukaryota; Fungi; Ascomycota; Sordariomycetes; Hypocreales; Nectriaceae.
AACCCCUGUGACAUACCAAUUGUUGCCUCGGCGGAUCAGCCCGCUCCCGGUAAAACGGGACGGCCCGCCAGAGGACCCCUAAACUCUGUUUCUAUAUGUAACUUCUGAGUAAAACCAUAAAUAAAUCAAAACUUUCAACAACGGAUCUCUUGGUUCUGGCAUCGAUGAAGAACGCAGCAAAAUGCGAUAAGUAAUGUGAAUUGCAGAAUUCAGUGAAUCAUCGAAUCUUUGAACGCACAUUGCGCCCGCCAGUAUUCUGGCGGGCAUGCCUGUUCGAGCGUCAUUUCAACCCUCAAGCCCCCGGGUUUGGUGUUGGGGAUCGGCGAGCCCUUGCGGCAAGCCGGCCCCGAAAUCUAGUGGCGGUCUCGCUGCAGCUUCCAUUGCGUAGUAGUAAAACCCUCGCAACUGGUACGCGGCGCGGCCAAGCCGUUAAACCCCCAACUUCUGAAUGUUGACCUCGGAUCAGGUAGGAAUACCCGCUGAACUUAAGC